GGAGUUAGCCGGUGCUUCUUCUGUGAGUGAUGUCCUUCCUGCCGGUUAUUGACCCGCAGGCCUUCUUCCUCACUGAAAGUGCUUUACAACCCGAAGGCCUUCUUCACACACGCGGCAUGGCUGGAUCAGGGUUGCCCCCAUUGUCCAAUAUUCCCCACUGCUGCCUCCCGUAGGAGUCUGGGCCGUGUCUCAGUCCCAGUGUGGCUGAUCAUCCUCUCAGACCAGCUACGGAUCGUCGCCUUGGUGAGCCGUUACCUCACCAACCAGCUAAUCCGACAUAGGCUCAUCCGAUAGCGCGAGGCCCGAAGGUCCCCCGCUUUCCCCCGUAGGGCGUAUGCGGUAUUAGCCUGGGUUUCCCCAGGUUAUCCCCCACUACCGGGCAGAUUCCUAUGCAUUACUCACCCGUCCGCCGCUCGCCACCAGGGAGCAAGCUCCCCGUGCUGCCGCUCGACUUGCAUGUGUAGCNGCCGCCAGCGUCAUCUGAGCAUAAUACAACUACUGA
Molecule: ribosomal RNA, 502 nt
Filed under: uncultured bacterium
Lineage: Bacteria
Description: partial 16S ribosomal RNA
Source: RNAcentral